This 493-nucleotide ribosomal RNA is filed under the name uncultured bacterium. RNAcentral's name for it is "partial 16S ribosomal RNA". It matches the Rfam family "Bacterial small subunit ribosomal RNA", at positions 29 to 523 of the family's 1533-position model. The record is from RNAcentral.
AUUGAACGCUGGCGGCAUGCUUUACACAUGCAAGUCGAACGGUAACAGGUUAAGCUGACGAGUGGCGAACGGGUGAGUAAUGCAUCGGAACGUGCCCGAUCGUGGGGGAUAACGCAGCGAAAGCUGCGCUAAUACCGCAUACGAUCUGAGGAUGAAAGCGGGGGACCGUAAGGCCUCGCGCGAUCGGAGCGGCCGAUGUCAGAUUAGGUAGUUGGUGGGGUAAAGGCUUACCAAGCCGACGAUCUGUAGCUGGUCUGAGAGGACGACCAGCCACACUGGGACUGAGACACGGCGCAGACUCCUACGGGAGGCAGCAGUGGGGAAUUUUGGACAAUGGGCGCAAGCCUGAUCCAGCAAUGCCGCGUGCAGGAAGAAGGCCUUCGGGUUGUAAACUGCUUUUGUACGGAGCGAAAAGGCUCUGGUUAAUACCUGGGGUCGAUGACGGUACCGGAAGAAUAAGGACCGGCUAACUACGUGCCAGCCGCCGCCGUAA